This is a long non-coding RNA of Harpia harpyja (harpy eagle), 373 nucleotides long. RefSeq lists it as uncharacterized. The record is from RefSeq and is a predicted model, not a curated record. Lineage: Eukaryota; Metazoa; Chordata; Aves; Accipitriformes; Accipitridae. The transcript is spliced from 3 exons.
AAACUACCCUUCACGGGCAACGGUAGCAAGUUUCACUCCCUACAGGGUAUUGUCCAAGUACCUGAAAUAAUCGGAUGACCACCACCCACCAAAGAGACACUGUGUCCAGGCUUUGAGACAAAACAGCAAAUUAUCUUAUGUUUAAAGGACUAUUGCACAAGUUGUAGAUGCUACAUUUACCAAGAAGAAAACAAAAAGAGGGAGGAUGGCAAUGGGAAGAUGAUGGCAGCAAGUAGAGAUAACAGAGUCUGUGUGCCUGAUGCUGGGAUGUUCAGAGGACCACAGCAGCAGUGCACCUGCGCUUAACGAAAACCAGUAGAAGGCGGCAUUUUGAAAGUCAGCAACAGAAACAUAAAACAGCUGGGUUGCCCUU